UAAACGAUGAAUACUCGCUGUUUGCGAUAUACAGCAAGCGGCCAAGCGAAAGCGUUAAGUAUUCCACCUGGGGAGUACGCCGGCAACGGUGAAACUCAAAGGAAUUGACGGGGGCCCGCACAAGCGGAGGAACAUGUGGUUUAAUUCGAUGAUACGCGAGGAACCUUACCCGGGCUUAAAUUGCAGAUGAAUUACGGUGAAAGCCGUAAGCCGCAAGGCAUCUGUGAAGGUGCUGCAUGGCUGUCGUCAG
Molecule: ribosomal RNA, 250 nt
Filed under: uncultured bacterium
Lineage: Bacteria
Description: partial 16S ribosomal RNA
Rfam family: Bacterial small subunit ribosomal RNA
Source: RNAcentral